RNAcentral lists this long non-coding RNA (3854 nucleotides) under Brassica rapa (field mustard). RNAcentral's name for it is "long non-coding RNA (BRAP_LNC003599)". The record is from RNAcentral. Lineage: Eukaryota; Viridiplantae; Streptophyta; Magnoliopsida; Brassicales; Brassicaceae.
UUUUCCGUCGGUGGGUACUCCGCAAUGCAAUGACGAAGGGAAGCUCGGUUUGUCAUGGCAUGUACAGGUAGAUGGGCGAAAAAAUCAAACAUUUCUUCAUCCUCUCUCAUCUGGCCUAAUAACACAUCUAUACCUUCUAUAGGACGAUGAAUCAUUUUCGUAUAUGAUAUUCCCGUUACUUGAUAACCAGGUAAGGUGAUAUCCAUCUCCAAAUCAUUAUUGGAACUAACAUCAGUUCCAUAACAUUCCACAACAUGAGAGAUGUCUCGCCAUGCCAUAAAAACAUGUAAUAAACAAAGAAAAUUAAGAAAAAUGAGUAAGUAUGUGUUUUAAUAUAUUUUACACAAAACAACAAAUCUAUUUUUCCUAUGAACUUAAAAAAAAAAAAAAACAAGGUCGUUUUCAAUCAAACAUUCCAAACGAAUAAUUUGAAGAACAUCUAACGUGAAUAAGAAAGGUAGGUAGGUCAUUUCUCCAUAAAUAUCGAACCGUAAGAAAUUGCAGCAAGCGCGAAGAUGAUCUUGUUAAGAAGAAUGUUAAGCAAUCAUCAUAAUUCAAGAAAGAUAUUCAGAAUCGAAAGAAGGUUUAAGAUUACCUCAAAUCGGAGAAUUAGAUGCAGCAGCUAGCUAGCGAUCUGAAUGUUUGCAGAAACAUGAAAACUAUUAUUAUUUAUUAUUAGACGACUUAACUAAGAGUACAUAACCAAACAAGCUACAUCACAACACAACACACAAACCACUAACCAUCUUUGACAGAUAUAACAUAAAUAACCAAAUACAAAUUCCAACAAACCAUAAUACAUAAAUCAUACGGGAACAGACGGGACAAGAAGGUUAAGCAUAGUUUUUCCAAAUCCAGUUAAGAAUGCAUGUUCCAUGGAAGACAUGUUGGCAGCAUUGCAACCCAAGAAGAUCAUUGACCGGAGUGUCAGUGAUAUCGUCUAAGCAAAUACAACAUUCUGUGAAAACAAGCGCUACAGGUGGAUUUUCAUGCCAAUCUUUAUUGACCCACCUAUUAUCCUCUCUCAAAGGUUGUAUUGUGCCAAAAGCUUCAUUGCCUUCAACAAUGAAAGAGAUAAAGUUGUUGAAGUGAGUAUCAUCCACGUAAAUGGAGAGAACAGUUGCGGUAUCUUUCCAGUUCCAAUCUAAACCAUCAAACUGGUGGGGUAUGAUUCUUCUGUUUUCUGUCGGUGGGUACUCCGCAAUGCAAUGACGAAGGGAAGCUCGGUUUGUCAUGGCAUGUACAGGUAGAUGGGCGAAAAAAUCAAACAUUUCUUCAUCCCCUCUCAUCUGGCCUAAUAACACAUCUAUACCUUCUAUAGGACGAUGAAUCAUUCUCGUAAAUGAUAUUUCCGUUACUUGAUAACCAGGUAAGGUGAUAUCCAUCUCUAAAUCAUUAUUGGAACUAACAUCAGUUCCAUAACAUUCCACAACAUGAGAGAUGUCUCGCCAUGCCAUAAUAACCUGUAAUAAACAAUGAAAAUGAAGAAAAAUGAGUAAGUAUGUGUUUUAAUAUAUUUUACACAAAACAACAAAUCUAUUUUUCCUAUGAACUUAAAAAAAAAAACAAGGUCGUUUUUAAUCAAACAUUCCAAACGAAUAAUUUGAAGAAGAUCUAACGUGAACAAGAAAAGUAGGUAGGUCAUUUCCCCAUAAAUAUCGAACCGUAAGAAAUUGCAGCAAGCGCGAAGAUGCACUUGUUAAGAAGAUUGUUAAGCAAUCAUCAUAAUUCAAGAAAGAGAUUCAGAAUCGAAAGAAGGUUUAAGAUUACCUCAAAUCGGAGAAUUAGAUGCAGCAGCUAGCUAGCGAUCUGAAUGUUUGCAGAAACAUGAAAACUAUUAUUAUUUAUUAUUAGACGACUUAACUAAGAGUACAUAACCAAACAAGCUACAUCACAACACAUCACACAAACCACUUACCAUCUUUGACAGAUAUAACAUAAAUAACCAAAUACAAAUUCCAACAAACCAUAAUACAUAAAUCAUACGGGAACAGACGGGACAAGAAGGUUAAGCUUAGUUUUUCCAGACCCAGUUAAGAAUGCAUGUUCCAUGGAAGACAUGUUGGCAGCAUUGCAACCCAAGAAGAUCAUUGACCGGAGUGUCAGUGAUAUCGUCUAAGCAAAUACAACAUUCUGUGAAAACAAGCGCUACAUGUGGAUUUUCACGCCAUUCUUCAUUGACCCACCUAUUCUCCUCUCUCAGAAGUUGUAUUGUGCCAAAAGCUUCAUUGCCUUCAACAAUGAAAGGGAUAAAGUUGUUGAAGUGAGUAUCAUCCACGUAAUUGGAGAGAACAGUUGCGGUAUCAUUCCAAUUCCAAUCUAAAGCAUCAAACUGGUGGGGUAUGAUUCUUCUGUUUUCCGUCGGGGGUACUCCGCAAUGCAAUGACGAAGGGAAGCUCGGUUUGUCAUGGCAUGUACAGGUAGAUGGGCGAAAAAAUCAAACAUUUCUUCAUCCUUUCUCAUCUGGCCUAAUAACACAUCUAUACCUUCUAUUGGACGAUGAAUCGUUCUCGUAAAUGAUAUUCCCGUUACUUGAUGACCAGGUAAGGUGAUAUCCAUCUCCAAAUCAUUAUUGGAACUAACAUCAGUUCCAUAACAUUCCACAACAUGAGAGAUGUCUCGCCAUGCCAUAAAAACAUGUAAUAAACAAAGAAAAUUAAGAAAAAUGAGUAAGUAUGUGUUUUAAUAUAUUUUACACAAAACAACAAAUCUAUUUUUCCUAUGAACUUAAAAAAAAAAAAAAAACAAGGUCGUUUUCAAUCAAACAUUCUAAACGAAUAAUUUGAAGAACAUCUAACGUGAAUAAGAAAGGUAGGUAGGUCAUUUCUCCAUAAAUAUCGAACCGUAAGAAAUUGCAGCAAGCGCGAAGAUGAUCUUGUUAAGAAGAAUGUUAAGCAAUCAUCAUAAUUCAAGAAAGAUAUUCAGAAUCGAAAGAAGUUUAAAGAUUACCUCAAAUCGAAGAAUUAGAUGCAGCAGCUAGCUAGCGAUCUGAAUGUUUGCAGAAACAUGAAAACUAUUAUUAUUUAUUAUUAGACGACUUAACUAAGAGUACAUAACCAAACAAGCUACAUCACAACACAACACACAAACCACUAACCAUCUUUGACAGAUAUAACAUAAAUAACCAAAUACAAAUUCCAACAAACCAUAAUACAUAAAUCAUACGGGAACAGACGGGACAAGAAGGUUAAGCAUAGUUUUUCCAGACCCAGUUAAGAAUGCAUGUUCCAUGAAAGACAUGUUGGCAGCAUUGCAACCCAAGAAGAUCAUUGACCGGAGUGUCAGUGAUAUCGCCUAAGCAAAUACAACAUUCUGUGAAAACAAGCGCUACAUGUGGAUUUUCACGCCAUUCUUCAUUGACCCACCUAUUAUCCUCUCUCAGAAGUUGUAUUGUGCCAAAAGCUUCAUUGCCUUCAACAAUGAAACGGAGAAAGUUGUUGAAGUGAGUAUCAUCCACGUAAUUGGAGAGAACAGUUGCGGUAUCAUUCCAGUUCCAAUCUAAAGCAUCAAACUGGUGCUGUAUGAUUCUUCUGUUUUCCGUCGGUGGGUACUCCGCAAUGCAAUGACGAAGGGAAGCUCGAUUUGUCAUGGCAUGUACAGGUAGAUGGGCGAAAAAAUCAAACAUUUCUUCAUCCUCUCUCAUCUGGCCUAAUAACACAUCUAUACCUUCUAUAGGACAAUGAAUCGUUCUCGUAAAUGAUAUUCCCGUUACUUGAUAACCAGGUAAGGUGAUAUCCAUCUCCAAAUCAUUAUUGGAACUAACAUCAGUUCCAUAACACUCUACAACAUGAGAGAUGUCUCGCCAUGCCAUUAUAACCAGUAAUAAACAAAGAAAAUGAAGAAAAAUGAGUAAG